AGGAGAAGAAGAACAAAUAAUGAAUGAUUGCGUCUACAUUUAUGGAAAGAGUUUGAUUGGGUAGAAAUGUUGCUUCUUUGGAGAAAUGUGUACUCAAAGAAUUACUCAUGUAGGUUUUAUCCUGGAGACCAGCUUCAAGAGUUGAUGGGAAGGAUGGAUAAAGCAAGGAGACCGACCUGAGAGAGACUGCUGGAAUAAAUUUGGAAUUGAGUGAGAAAAGGAUGCUAGGCUUACACCUUUGGCACUGACCCCUAACAUAUUUG
This is a long non-coding RNA of Mastomys coucha (southern multimammate mouse), 263 nucleotides long. RefSeq lists it as uncharacterized. The transcript is spliced from 4 exons. NCBI's taxonomy places the organism in Eukaryota, Metazoa, Chordata, Mammalia, Rodentia, Muridae. The record is from RefSeq and is a predicted model, not a curated record.